RNAcentral lists this transfer RNA (85 nucleotides) under Clostridia bacterium. RNAcentral's name for it is "tRNA-Leu". It matches the Rfam family "tRNA". From Rfam's summary of the family: Transfer RNA (tRNA) molecules are approximately 80 nucleotides in length. Their secondary structure includes four short double-helical elements and three loops (D, anti-codon, and T loops). Further hydrogen bonds mediate the characteristic L-shaped molecular structure. tRNAs have two regions of fundamental functional importance: the anti-codon, which is responsible for specific mRNA codon recognition, and the 3' end, to which the tRNAs corresponding amino acid is attached (by aminoacyl-tRNA synthetases). tRNAs cope with the degeneracy of the genetic code in two manners: having more than one tRNA (with a specific anti-codon) for a particular amino acid; and 'wobble' base-pairing, i.e. permitting non-standard base-pairing at the 3rd anti-codon position. The record is from RNAcentral. Lineage: Bacteria; Bacillati; Bacillota; Clostridia.
GCGGAUAUGGCGGAACUGGCAGACGCGUUAGAUUCAGAUUCUAAUGAGUAAUUUCGUGCAGGUUCAAAUCCUGUUGUCCGCACCA